Molecule: ribosomal RNA, 432 nt
Filed under: uncultured bacterium
Lineage: Bacteria
Description: partial 16S ribosomal RNA
Rfam family: Bacterial small subunit ribosomal RNA
Source: RNAcentral
GCGAACGCUGGCGGCAGGCUUAACACAUGCAAGUCGAACGGGCACUUCGGUGCUAGUGGCAGACGGGUGAGUAACACGUGGGAACGUACCUUUCGGUUCGGAAUAAUCCAGGGAAACUUGGACUAAUACCGGAUACGCCCUUCGGGGGAAAGAUUCAUCGCCGAUAGAUCGGCCCGCGUCUGAUUAGCUAGUUGGUGAGGUAAUGGCUCACCAAGGCGACGAUCAGUAGCUGGUCCGAGAGGAUGAUCAGCCACAUUGGGACUGAGACACGGCCCAAACUCCUACGGGAGGCAGCAGUGGGGAAUAUUGGACAAUGGGCGCAAGCCUGAUCCAGCCAUGCCGCGUGAGUGAUGAAGGCCUUAGGGUUGUAAAGCUCUUUUGUCCGGGAAGAUAAUGACUGUACCGGAAGAAUAAGCCCCGGCUAACUUCGUG